UAGCCCAGUGAUCGGGGUGCUAUUCUCGGGGUGUUUUCGAUAUUAAUGCUCAGAGUACACUCUGAGCGGGAAGGGGUUCUCAGACGUUUAAAACAAAUGUUCACCUCUUAUUGGUUAAGAAAUUGCAAAAAUCUCACGAGUGUGAUAUGUGCUGUUGCUUUCGGUGAAAAUAAUCUAGAAUGGUUGUGUAUCGUGCAAAUUUCUUGAGCAAGGGAUACGUUCAAGGUGUCUUCGUACUCUGGGAUCGUUCUCCGUCGUUUUGGCCAGAGCAAAAGUAAAGGGCGGGAAGAAAAUAAAAAAUGUACGCGAAUGUGAAUGAUUUGAAUCCUGUUGAUCUUUUGGAUCCAGCGAUAAUUUUCGGUGCUGAUGAUCUUCUUUUUCAAGACGACGGUGACGAGAAUCUUGAGUUUUUUCGACCAAAUGAACGAGAAAAUCACGCAUGAUUCAAACUUAUUUUGAAGAAAUUAUACCUGUGUAUUCAUUCUCAGAUUACUGUUUCAGAUAGGCUGCGUAUACGUGACCGUCUAGUCCGGACAGUCUUUUAUAAUCAAAAAGGAUUUGACAUCAGUCUUCGCCAAUCUCCAUGGCGAAAGAAGAAGAGUAGUUUUUAAAUUAAUUUUAUCGAAAUAAUUCUACAUAUCCAAACUUGCUAAUAAAAACCACCGUUUUUUAGUUUGGGCAGUUGAUGACACUUGAGACAUUUCUGAAACUAUUACAAUUUUUAUAGUGGUGAAAAUGGAUAAGAUAAUUUUCAGUGAACACUCAAAAGUAAAUUCUACAUCCCCAAACUUGAUUUUCUGUCACACUUCCGACUUACUCAGCGAACCUUUCAGAAAGUCCUUGAUGACAUUGGCCCCUUCUUACAUCCACACAAUCCUGGACCUGCUAGAAUGUGCCCAGGAAAGCAAUUGUGCAUUGCUAUAUGGACAUUUGCCAACCAGGAAGUAUACAGGUCAAUAGCUGAUCGUUUCGGCGUUUCAAUAAACACAGCAUGGAGAUACACGUUUAAUGUCGCUCAAACUCUGAAUAAUCAAGCUCACAAUUAUAUUCGUUGGCCUGAGGGUCAAAAAUUAAUUGAAGCAGAAGAACAAUUCAGGGCAAUAUCAGGAUUUCCCGGUGUUGUUGCGACAGUUGAUGGAUGCCAUAUUGAAGUCAGUGCUCCUUAGUUCGAUGAAGGGAUUUACGUAAAUCGGAAGCACUUUCAUUCAGUCAUCUUGCAAGGAAUGAGCGAUACCAAUAUGAAAUUUGUCGACAUAUUUGCUGGGAUUUGCGGCAGUAUACAUGAUGCUCGAGUAUGGCAGAUGAGUGGCAUUAAACAAGGAAUAAAUGAAGAUCCCGAACAUUUUUGUCCACAAGAAACCCAUGUCAUUGGUGAUUCAGCAUAUCCCAUUCAUUAUCAUUUGAUGACACCUUUUCGCGACAAUGGUCAUCUUACGCAAAACCAGAGGCAUUACAACACCAUGCACUCCAAAACUCGUGUUGUAAUUGAACGUUCAUUUGCAUUGCUGAAGGGCCGAUUUCGUAGGCUAAGGUACCUUUAUGUGCAGCACAUUGAAAAUGCACCUCUCAUCAUUGUUGCGUUCUUCACAUCUGUCUUGAUUUGGAGGAUGUAGUGGAUGAAGAAGUAGUUGACGAAUUCGUUGAUGUCGGGAACGAUGCAAUUGACGACCAAUAUGGCAGAGAUGUAGUUGCAGCUGUGGAAAAGCGCUUCAUAAUUGCUGCAUUAUUAUUUAACGCAAGAAGAUUAGGAAUCAAUAUACUGCAACAAUUGAGAAUAAGGCGGAAUAACAACGUAAGAAGAAACAAUCAGGGACUUGUUAACAGAAGACAAGUUUUAAGGAAUCAUGUGAGAAGAAGGCACUGAAGAGGAAGCGAUUUAUAUAGAUUUGCUAUUUUCCUGAAAAGUGUACAAACGUUUUAAAUACAUUCAUAAAUGAAAUAAAAUAUUAUUCUCAUUGC
Belonocnema kinseyi is the source of this 1959-nucleotide RNA transcript. RefSeq lists it as uncharacterized. NCBI's taxonomy places the organism in Eukaryota, Metazoa, Arthropoda, Insecta, Hymenoptera, Cynipidae. The record is from RefSeq and is a predicted model, not a curated record. The transcript is spliced from 4 exons.